UCUCCGUUGGUGAACCAGCGGAGGGAUCAUUGCUGGAACGCGCUUCGGCGCACCCAGAAACCCUUUGUGAACUUAUACCUAUUGUUGCCUCGGCGUAGGCCGGCCUCUUCACUGAGGCCCCCUGGAAACAGGGAGCAGCCCGCCGGCGGCCAACCAAACUCUUGUUGUUACAGUGUCAUUCUGAAUUUAAAAACUUAAUCAGUUAAAACUUUCAACAACGGAUCUCUUGGUUCUGGCAUCGAUGAAGAACGCAGC
Molecule: unclassified non-coding RNA, 255 nt
Filed under: uncultured fungus
Lineage: Eukaryota; Fungi
Description: sequence contains ITS1, 5.8S rRNA gene
Rfam family: 5.8S ribosomal RNA (bases 207-255)
Source: RNAcentral